RNAcentral lists this ribosomal RNA (468 nucleotides) under uncultured bacterium. RNAcentral describes it as "partial 16S ribosomal RNA". It matches the Rfam family "Bacterial small subunit ribosomal RNA", at positions 28 to 507 of the family's 1533-position model. The record is from RNAcentral.
GACGAACGCUGGCGGCGUGCUUAACACAUGCAAGUCGAACGGAAAGGCCCUGCCUUUGUGGGGUGCUCGAGUGGCGAACGGGUGAGUAACACGUGAGUAACCUGCCCUUGACUUUGGGAUAACUUCAGGAAACUGGGGCUAAUACCGGAUAGGAGCUCGUGCUGCAUGGUGGGGGUUGGAAAGUUUCGGCGGUUGGGGAUGGACUCGCGGCUUAUCAGCUUGUUGGUGGGGUAGUGGCUUACCAAGGCGUUGACGGGUAGCCGGCCUGAGAGGGUGACCGGCCACAUUGGGACUGAGAUACGGCCCAGACUCCUACGGGAGGCAGCAGUGGGGAAUAUUGCACAAUGGGCGGAAGCCUGAUGCAGCAACGCCGCGUGCGGGAUGACGGCCUUCGGGUUGUAAACCGCUUUCGCCUGUGACGAAGCGUGAGUGACGGUAAUGGGUAAAGAAACACCGGCUAACUACGUG